UGCAGUCGAACGGUAACAGAAAGAAGCUUGCUUGCUUUGCUGACGAGUGGCGGACGGGUGAGUAAUGUCUGGGAAACUGCCUGAUGGAGGGGGAUAACUACUGGAAACGGUAGCUAAUACCGCAUAACGUCGCAAGACCAAAGAGGGGGACCUUCGGGCCUCUUGCCAUCGGAUGUGCCCAGAUGGGAUUAGCUAGUAGGUGGGGUAACGGCUCACCUAGGCGACGAUCCCUAGCUGGUCUGAGAGGAUGACCAGCCACACUGGAACUGAGACACGGUCCAGACUCCUACGGGAGGCAGCAGUGGGGAAUAUUGCACAAUGGGCGCAAGCCUGAUGCAGCCAUGCCGCGUGUAUGAAGAAGGCCUUCGGGUUGUAAAGUACUUUCAGCGGGGAGGAAGGGAGUAAAGUUAAUACCUUUGCUCAUUGACGUUACCCGCAGAAGAAGCACCGGCUAACUCCGU
RNAcentral lists this ribosomal RNA (461 nucleotides) under Enterobacteriaceae bacterium. RNAcentral describes it as "bacterial SSU rRNA". It matches the Rfam family "Bacterial small subunit ribosomal RNA", at positions 56 to 506 of the family's 1533-position model. The record is from RNAcentral. Lineage: Bacteria; Pseudomonadati; Pseudomonadota; Gammaproteobacteria; Enterobacterales; Enterobacteriaceae.